Molecule: ribosomal RNA, 1722 nt
Filed under: Proteus mirabilis
Lineage: Bacteria; Pseudomonadati; Pseudomonadota; Gammaproteobacteria; Enterobacterales; Morganellaceae
Description: bacterial LSU rRNA
Rfam family: Bacterial large subunit ribosomal RNA
Source: RNAcentral
GUUGGGUAGGGGAGCGUUCUGUAAGCCUGCGAAGGUGUACUGUGAGGUAUGCUGGAGGUAUCAGAAGUGCGAAUGCUGACAUAAGUAACGAUAAUGCGGGUGAAAAACCCGCACGCCGGAAGACCAAGGGUUCCUGUCCAACGUUAAUCGGGGCAGGGUGAGUCGACCCCUAAGGCGAGGCUGAAAAGCGUAGUCGAUGGGAAACGGGUUAAUAUUCCCGUACUGGUGGUAACUGCGAUGGGGGAACGGAGAAGGCUAGGUUGUCCGGGCGACGGUCGUCCCGGUUCAAGCAGGUAGGCAGAGUGAUUAGGCAAAUCCGGUCACUUAAUGCUGAGAUGUGAUGACGAACCACCAAGGUGGUGAAGCAAUUGAUGCCCCGCUUCCAGGAAAAGCCUCUAAGCUUCAGGUUACCAACAAUCGUACCCCAAACCGACACAGGUGGUCAGGUAGAGAAUACUCAGGCGCUUGAGAGAACUCGGGUGAAGGAACUAGGCAAAAUGGUGCCGUAACUUCGGGAGAAGGCACGCUGGCGGUAGGUAAAGUCCCUCGCGGACGGCGCUGAAGCCAGUCGAAGAUACCAGCUGGCUGCAACUGUUUAUUAAAAACACAGCACUGUGCAAACACGAAAGUGGACGUAUACGGUGUGACGCCUGCCCGGUGCUGGAAGGUUAAUUGAUGGGGUUAGCGUAAGCGAAGCUCCUGAUCGAAGCCCCAGUAAACGGCGGCCGUAACUAUAACGGUCCUAAGGUAGCGAAAUUCCUUGUCGGGUAAGUUCCGACCUGCACGAAUGGCGUAAUGAUGGCCAGGCUGUCUCCACCCGAGACUCAGUGAAAUUGAACUCGCUGUGAAGAUGCAGUGUACCCGCGGCAAGACGGAAAGACCCCGUGAACCUUUACUAUAGCUUGACACUGAACAUUGAGCCUUGAUGUGUAGGAUAGGUGGGAGGCUUUGAAGUGUGGACGCCAGUCUGCAUGGAGCCAACCUUGAAAUACCACCCUUUAACGUUUGAUGUUCUAACCUAGGCCCAUAAACUGGGUCGGGGACCGUGUCUGGUGGGUAGUUUGACUGGGGCGGUCUCCUCCUAAAGAGUAACGGAGGAGCACGAAGGUUGGCUAAGCAUGGUCGGACAUCAUGCGGUUAGUGCAAAGGCAUAAGCCAGCUUGACUGCGAGAGUGACGGCUCGAGCAGGUACGAAAGUAGGUCUUAGUGAUCCGGUGGUUCUGAAUGGAAGGGCCAUCGCUCAACGGAUAAAAGGUACUCCGGGGAUAACAGGCUGAUACCGCCCAAGAGUUCAUAUCGACGGCGGUGUUUGGCACCUCGAUGUCGGCUCAUCACAUCCUGGGGCUGAAGUAGGUCCCAAGGGUAUGGCUGUUCGCCAUUUAAAGUGGUACGCGAGCUGGGUUUAGAACGUCGUGAGACAGUUCGGUCCCUAUCUGCCGUGGGCGUUGGAAGAUUGAGAGGGGUUGCUCCUAGUACGAGAGGACCGGAGUGAACGCACCACUGGUGUUCGGGUUGUCAUGCCAAUGGCAUUGCCCGGUAGCUAAGUGCGGAAGAGAUAACCGCUGAAAGCAUCUAAGCGGGAAACUUGCCUCGAGAUGAGUCUUCCCUGUCGCUUUAAGCGACCUAAAGGAACGUUUAAGACUAAGACGUUGAUAGGCUGGGUGUGUAAGCGUAGCGAUACGUUGAGCUAACCAGUACUAAUGAACCGUGAGGCUUAACCUG